GCUGUUGGCAUCUGGUGCUGUGGUUCCUGGAUGAAAACAGUGACUAUCGGGGCCUGGACCUACAAUACCACUUCUGCUGUCACAGUGAAGUCUCC
RNAcentral lists this microRNA precursor (95 nucleotides) under Mesocricetus auratus (golden hamster). RNAcentral's name for it is "miRNA (ENSMAUG00000006129.1)". The record is from RNAcentral. Lineage: Eukaryota; Metazoa; Chordata; Mammalia; Rodentia; Cricetidae.